GCGAUACUUCAGGUUGGACCAAAUGAUGUUUUCUUGGGAGAAGCAGAACACACCAAGCCGGCCUCCACGCAUGGUGGUGUCUAUGGUGACCCCAGAGUCAGCCACCAACUCGGAGCCUUCAUAAAAUCGCACUCUGCAGACAACACAGCCCAGGCUGGUCACCAUGAAGCUCAAACUGGAGUCAAGCACGCUGCUUGCCUGCCCCGGUCAGGAGAUGGCAAUUUGUACUCCUUUCUCAGUGCGCUACGUAAGAUGGCGUCAGUGUUGAUCUGCGAGCUUGAGGAGUGAGAAAGGAAGUACCUGGUCUAAAUUUCAAAGGUGCAGCCUAAGCCAUUGUAGCUUCUGCGGACAGUUGUUUGCAUCUGGUUUUCAAACAGUCCUCUAGGGAAAUGAGGCAGCUUGCACUGGCUGCAUGAAGGUCGGUUCCUGCCACGUGUGGUACACACAGAGCAGCAAGGAGGCCAACAUAAAGUGAGAUACAGGCACUGCCUCCAUGGAGUUCACCAUCCAGCCGGGAAGAGACGGUAAGGGACUCGUUGCAGUGCAGUUUCGAAUGUCCAUGAAGGAGCCAACACCCAGGCUGAGCCGCAUCUCCCUUCACACUGGUGACCCUCAGCCCUCGAAUAAUCAGCACUGGCCGAUACCCCGCUGACCUCGCCCAUGGCUUUCCUGCUGUAACUCCACCGCGCCCCACACCUGUCCUCUGAGGACUUGGAAGUAUGCCUUUUCUCCCAGCAGAGAGCGAGUGCCCACUAGAGCGGACCCCACCGAGAGCUCAGGUUAGCCUGUUUCUGGCACAGUGCACCUGCUGACGUGCCCCCAGGGCUCCCCCAACUCUUGAUUCCCCACCUGAGCUGACCUGAUGGGGAGGACAUGAGUCACCCAGGAGGGAGCUUGUCCACAGGAACGUCCAUAUGUGAACUAAGUGCCGUAGGCGAGAACAGGCCUGAGAAGGAGGGUGAAGGGCCCAGAGGGGAGGUGAGUGACAGAACGGUCGCUACCUUGAGCUGGAUGCCAGGCUCGGCGACAGCGCGGAACGGCGUGGCCUGCCAGUACGUCUGCUCCGUCUGCUUCCACAUGACCACAUAGAAGCUGGAGCUGUCUUGGUAGCCAAAGAUGAAGCCGGCAUAGUCAUCGUCCGUCUGGGUGUUUACGUGGAAGGUCCCUUCAAAGUCAACUCCGUUAAACGCCGUGUACCCUGCAGGGACCACAAGAAGAUCAGAAAAGCUGACCGGCCCCAGGAGGAGCUGCGGAGAGCGGGUUCCAUGCACGUGCUGCGGAGGCCCUGGACAUACCCACUGCCAGGCCGGGGUCGCUGUUCAUGGUCUGGACAAUCUCCAUGCCCUGCAGAGAAAGUUGAAGGAGUUAAGGGCAAUCUGAGAGGGUGGGGAAGCUCAAGGAAGCCCAGAGCCUCCGCGGCGGGGAGCGCUCACGAGGCCUGGCCUCCACACAGCCUGCUUUAUCUGAGGAACUGCUCUACCUCGCUGGUGCUCGAACAAAGCACAGCCCUGGGAGGGGGAGAAAAGCUGAACAGAAAUGAUUUUGCUAAAAUGGGAAUUAAGAGUUCCUUGAAUCAGCUUACUUCUGAGAGAGCAUCACUUCUAACGCAUGUGACUUGCCGGGUGAGGCUAAAGGCUCGAAGCCUCUCUGUGCCUGCUUUUCGUAGUUUCACAACGAGGGGGGCAGGUGGGAGGCAGUCUGCUGGAGAGCUGGGGGGCAUGGCUCUCGGGCCAGACUGCUUCUGCCUGGGUCCCCAUUCCAGACUCUCCCUGCGGAGCUCCCGUGAGCCACCACUGCAGACUGAGGGGGCUCCAUGUCCUGUGUAGAACGGGCUCGCGGAAGCGCUAGGCCAGAGGCCAAGGGCAGCGCGCCCUCUCCUGUGUGGAGAGCUGCCCACCACCGGGCACCUACUUGGUUCAGCACCACCCAGUUGGGAUCGAUCUGCGCGUCCCCUUCAGGGUCCAGGACCACCGUCUGGUAGGCUCUGAAGUCAGUCAGGGUGACCUCUGCAUUCUCCGGGCAGACGUCGAUCCGAUCGAUGACCUGGUCCUGGUCAAAGUCGGUCUCACAGAUGUCUCCCACGCCGUCCCCUGAGUGGGGUGGGGUGGGGAGGAGGAGAGGAUCUGGCUCCCGUCCACACUGCCUGCACCACUGCUCCUUCACAGAGACAGGGCUGGGCAAGGAGCCGAAGGGAGCCCCCCCCUUCCAGGGCGACCAUCUUCAGCCCAUGCGGCCCCAGGCCCCACCCUGGAAUCUUCAGGGUGGGUUGGUGAACCCCACUGUAUGUGACCAAAAGAAUUUCCUGGGGACAGACUGGAAGGCAGCUGUUCAAAAUUGGUCUCAUAAGAAACUCUGAAUGUUCUCUGAGGACACUGGGGUUCACCAAGUGGUGGGUCUGAAGGCUGACCUUACAGAAGCAACAUCCAUAGCGCUUUCGCUGUAACAUAUGAAAAACCGGGAAAUUGUCACCAGAGGGUCUCUAAGACCGUACUUUCUGGUGAUCCUUAGGCUGAAUCCGGCUCAUGGUAUGAUUUGUUCCGUUGAUUUGUUAUUAAAAUAUUUCAGCUAAAUGCUACCUAGCUGUGGACGGCUGUGCCCUCACCGGCCCUCCAGGGUCCUCACGGUUCUGUCUCCUUUCUGGCUGGUGCACACUCUCCCUGUGGGCCUGGCCCCCGGCGGCCACUGAGGUGAUGAGCCCACUGAAGCCGUUCGCGGCUCUGCCCUUCCCUCUAUCCUGCUCCUUUCCUGUGGCCCCUGGUGAAAGCCCCUUGGGCAGGAGCACGUGGCUGCUCCCUUGUCGCAUGUGACCUCAUCCGGGGCUGCUGAGAAGCUGCAAAGCAGCUCUUCUGUGACAGAGUUAGGGGGUUGUGUCUGCCAGCUGUCCACUGUCCACACAAGCUGUGGCUGCUCAGGGAAGUCCUGGGAGAGGCGUCCCACUCCCACCCCAGGCGCCUGGUGGAAGGGAGCCU
Molecule: long non-coding RNA, 2969 nt
Organism: Canis lupus familiaris (dog)
Lineage: Eukaryota; Metazoa; Chordata; Mammalia; Carnivora; Canidae
Exons: 3
Source: RefSeq, a predicted model, not a curated record